GAUGAAGAACGCAGCGAAAUGCGAUACUUGGUGUGAAUUGCAGAAUCCCGUGAACCAUCGAGUCUUUGAACGCAAGUUGCGCCUCAAGCCAUUAGAUUGAGGGCACGUCUGCCUGGGCGUCACAUAUCGUUGCCUGAUGCCAGUUUCCUCGUGAUGGGUGACUGUGCAGGGCGAAUGAUGGCUUCCCGUGAGCAUUGUUGCCUCAUGGUUGGUUGAAAAUUGAGUCCUUGGUAGGGAGCGCCGUGAUAGAUGGUGGUUGAGUGACGAACGAGACCCAAUCAUGUGAGACCCCUACCGAAUUUGGCCUUCAUGACCCACAUGCGUCUUUGGAACGCUCAUGACGAGACCUCAGGUCAGGCGGGGCUACCCGCUGAGUUUAAGCAUAUCAAUAAGCGGAGGA
This 400-nucleotide unclassified non-coding RNA is filed under the name soil metagenome. RNAcentral describes it as "partial contains 5.8S ribosomal RNA, internal transcribed spacer 2, and large subunit ribosomal RNA". The stretch from base 1 to 122 matches the Rfam family "5.8S ribosomal RNA", at positions 35 to 154 of the family's 154-position model. The record is from RNAcentral.